CGCACGAGUUCAGACUCGUGGCGAAUAGCUCAGUAACACGUGGCCAAACUACCCUUCGGAGCUCCAUACCCUCGGGAAACUGAGGCUAAUAGAGCAUACCACAAUCCAGCUGGAAUGAGGAUUGUGUCAAACGCUCCGGCGCCGAAGGAUGUGGCUGCGGCCGAUUAGGUAGACGGUGGGGUAACGGCCCACCGUGCCAAUAAUCGGUACGGGUCAUGAGAGUGAGAACCCGGAGACGGAAUCUGAGACAAGAUUCCGGGCCCUACGGGGCGCAGCAGGCGCGAAACCUUUACACUGCACGCCAGUGCGAUAAGGGGAUCCCAAGUGCGCAGGCAUAGAGCCUGCGCUUUUGUACACCGUAGGGAGGUGUACGAAUAAGGGCUGGGCAAGACCGGUGCCAGCCGCCGCGGUAAUACCGGCAGCCCGAGUGAUGGCCGAUUUUAUUGGGCCUAAAGCGUCCGUAGCUGGCCGCGCAAGUCCAUCGGAAAAUCCACCCGCCCAACGGGUGGGCGUCCGGUGGAAACUGCGUGGCUUGGGACCGGAAGGCGCGACGGGUACGUCCGGGGUAGGAGUGAAAUCCCGUAAUCCUGGACGGACCGCCGAUGGCGAAAGCACGUCGCGAGGACGGAUCCGACAGUGAGGGACGAAAGCCAGGGUCUCGAACCGGAUUAGAUACCCGGGUAGUCCUGGCCGUAAACAAUGUCUGUUAGGUGUGGCUCCCACUACGAGUGGGUGCUGUGCCGUAGGGAAGCCGCUAAACAGACCGCCUGGGAAGUACGUCCGCAAGGAUGAAACUUAAAGGAAUUGGCGGGGGAGCACUACAACCGGAGGAGCCUGCGGUUUAAUUGGACUCAACGCGGACAUCUCACCAGCAUCGACUGUAGUAAUGACGAUCAGGUUGAUGACCUU
RNAcentral lists this ribosomal RNA (909 nucleotides) under Halorubrum sp. RNAcentral's name for it is "bacterial SSU rRNA". It matches the Rfam family "Archaeal small subunit ribosomal RNA", at positions 59 to 969 of the family's 1478-position model. The record is from RNAcentral. Lineage: Archaea; Methanobacteriati; Methanobacteriota; Halobacteria; Halobacteriales; Haloferacaceae.